GUGCUCACUUUGACAGCAUAUACACUAAAAUUGGAAUGAAACAGAGAUUAGCACAGCCCCUGCACAAGGAUGACACACAAAUUCGUGAAGUUCCAUAUUCUUUU
Molecule: small nuclear RNA, 104 nt
Organism: Heterocephalus glaber (naked mole-rat)
Lineage: Eukaryota; Metazoa; Chordata; Mammalia; Rodentia; Bathyergidae
Source: Ensembl